RNAcentral lists this ribosomal RNA (253 nucleotides) under uncultured bacterium. Its description in RNAcentral is "partial 16S ribosomal RNA". It matches the Rfam family "Bacterial small subunit ribosomal RNA", at positions 524 to 776 of the family's 1533-position model. The record is from RNAcentral.
UACGGAGGGAGCUAGCGUUGUCCGGAAUUAUUGGGCGUAAAGCGCGCGCAGGCGGUCCCUUAAGUCUGAUGUGAAAGCCCACGGCUCAACCGUGGAGGGUCAUUGGAAACUGGGGGACUUGAGUGCAGAAGAGGAAAGUGGAAUUCCAUGUGUAGCGGUGAAAUGCGUAGAGAUGUGGAGGAACACCAGUGGCGAAGGCGACUUUCUGGUCUGUAACUGACGCUGAGGCGCGAAAGCGUGGGGAGCGAACAGG